RNAcentral lists this ribosomal RNA (468 nucleotides) under uncultured bacterium. Its description in RNAcentral is "partial 16S ribosomal RNA". It matches the Rfam family "Bacterial small subunit ribosomal RNA", at positions 28 to 507 of the family's 1533-position model. The record is from RNAcentral.
GACGAACGCUGGCGGCGUGCUUAACACAUGCAAGUCGAACGGAAAGGCUCUGCUUUUGUGGGCUGUUCCAGAGGCGAACGGGAGAGUAACACGAGCUUCACCCGCCCCUGACUUUGCUCUAACUUCAGGAAGCUAGUGCUAAUUCCGGACAGCUGCUCCCGCUGCAGGGUGGGGGUUGGAAAGUCUCGGCGGUUGGGGAUGGGCUCGCGGCUUAUCAGCUUGUUGGUGGGGUAGUGGCAUACCAAGGCGUUGACGGGUAGCCGGCCUGAGAGGGUGACCGGCCACACUGGGACUGAGAUACGGCCCAGACUCCUACGGGAGGCAGCAGUGGGGAAUAUUGCGCAAUGGGCGGAAGCCUGACGCAGCAACGCCGCGUGCGGGAUGACGGCCUUCGGGUUGUAAACCGCUUUCGGCAGGGACGAAGCGUGAGUGACGGUACUGGGUAAAGAAGCACCGGCUAACUACGUG